CAGCAGCCACGGGAAUGCGUAGGUGGCAAGCGUUGUCCGGAAUUAUUGGGCGUAAAGGGCUCGCAGGCGGUUUCUUAAGUCUGAUGUGAAAGCCCCCGGCUCAACCGGGGAGGGUCAUUGGAAACUGGGAAACUUGAGUGCAGAAGAGGAGAGUGGAAUUCCACGUGUAGCGGUGAAAUGUGUAGAGAUGUGGAGGAACACCAGUGGCGAAGGCGACUCUCUGGUCUGUAACUGACGCUGAGGAGCGAAAGCGUGGGGAGCGAACAGGAUUAGAUACCCGCGUAGUCCCUGUCUCUUAUAC
RNAcentral lists this ribosomal RNA (301 nucleotides) under uncultured bacterium. RNAcentral's name for it is "partial 16S ribosomal RNA". It matches the Rfam family "Bacterial small subunit ribosomal RNA", at positions 509 to 807 of the family's 1533-position model. The record is from RNAcentral.